UACGUAGGUGGCGAGCGUUGUCCGGAUUUACUGGGCGUAAAGCGCGCGCAGGCGGACUGAUCAGUCUGGGGUGAAAUCUCACGGCUCAACUGUGAGCGGUCCCUGGAUACUGUCAGCCUUGAGAUGUCUAGAGGAGAGCGGAAUUCCCGGUGUAGUGGUGGAAUGCGUAGAUAUCGUAAGGAAGACCAGUGGCGAAGGCGGGUCUCUGGACAGUUCCUGACGCUGAGGCACGAAGGUCAGGGGAGCAAACGGG
RNAcentral lists this ribosomal RNA (253 nucleotides) under uncultured bacterium. RNAcentral describes it as "partial 16S ribosomal RNA". It matches the Rfam family "Bacterial small subunit ribosomal RNA", at positions 524 to 776 of the family's 1533-position model. The record is from RNAcentral.